RNAcentral lists this ribosomal RNA (253 nucleotides) under uncultured bacterium. RNAcentral's name for it is "partial 16S ribosomal RNA". It matches the Rfam family "Bacterial small subunit ribosomal RNA", at positions 524 to 776 of the family's 1533-position model. The record is from RNAcentral.
UACGUAGGGCGCAAGCGUUGUCCGGAAUUAUUGGGCGUAAAGAGCUCGUAGGCGGCUUGUCACGUCGGGUGUGAAAGCCCGGGGCUUAACCCCGGGUCUGCAUUCGAUACGGGCAGGCUAGAGUGUGGCAGGGGAGAUCGGAAUUCCUGGUGUAGCGGUGAAAUGCGCAGAUAUCAGGAGGAACACCGGUGGCGAAGGCGGAUCUCUGGGCCAUUACUGACGCUGAGGAGCGAAAGCGUGGGGAGCGAACAGG